CUCUCACCAGCUCUGUCACGUUCCAGACCCCAGACGUCACAAAGCAGUCCUGGAAACUUAAGUGCCCUAAAGAAAGAAAAUGGCUGGCUCUGCUCAGAUGCCACCUCAGCUCACCGGUGACAUACAUCUGAGACUGCAGUUUUUUUGGACCCAGAGGCCCCCCGUAGUGAGUGAUGGGGCCUGGAUCACUACCUUCUGUGAAGAGCAGCAGAGGGGGUUUCUCAGCCACUAAAGGGCAAACACAGACGCACCCAUGAUAUAGGUAUGUCCUCCCCACAGCAGUCCUUAGUAAAUGGUCUGAGGCUGCUCACCACAUGGGGAGGGAUGGGGAAAGACCCCAGGAGAUGGGCAAGGCCAAGAGAGAAGUGGGGAGCACAGGGCUUGCCCUUGGAUUCUGAGGUUCCAACAACCUGCUCUGCCCUCCCCUGCCCUGCCCUGCCCCGCUCUGCCCUGCUCAAUCCUGGAGUGGAGAGAGCUGAAGAAACCAAAAGCACAGACCCUGGCCUAGGAUGGCAGGCACCACCUCCUGCUGCCCGCAGCCCUGCCUUCUUUAUAGACAAACCCACUCCUGGCAAGGUUGGCUGGUGCCAUAGUUUGCCGGCAGCCGUGUCUAGCAUUUCUGAGGGCUUGGAUCCAGGGAUCACAUGACAAUGGGGUCCAGACAUGUAGCCCCUAGCCUAAGAACUGCCCCUCCUCAAGGUGCUGGGUAGAAACCGACAGUGGGGAAUGCUUUCAGUACACCACAAGCCAGAGAAAAGCAGUGUUGGGGAUGGGGAACGUGUGCCCACCCCACCCCCCGCCCCAGUUUGGGACCCGUGAAGCUGAGCCCCGCCCCCACUCCCUCUAUUUCAAGCAUUGCCCUUUCUGGACCUUUGAGUUGCCCAGGCCAGCCUGGGCCAGGCCAGGCCAGGCUGGGCUAGCCAGAUACCCACCCCCAUCCCCAGCUGCUCCUGAAGCUAUUAAUAGUGUUUCCCCUUCCCAGGGCUGGGUAGCACCCCCCACACCCCAGCCAAACACAUUUGCCCUUGGUCCGAUUACUCAGGAAGGGAAGUAGUCAGUCCCUAAUGCCAGCCCUAGGAUGAGAGGGGCGACGGAGGCUCUGAAGGUCACAUAGGUCGCUGCCUGGGACCAGCAGGAGCUCCAAGGAAGAGGCAAACCCUAGCCCAGGAGCAUAAUAUAGAAGGGAAGACCUAGGGAAGGAAUUAGGGCCAGGCCAAGCAGCAUUGUGGGGGGUUGUGGGGAGGCCCAUGCCAAAAGCCAGAGGAAGCCAGAGGAGGCAAAGGAGGCAGCCGGGGAGAAGCUGAGUGAACUGCUUCUUGCUGCUAGUCUAUGUGAGGAAGAGCAUUCGGCAGGGGCUGAGCUGGGACUGGGAGCCUCCAUGCCCACCCACAAGAUUUCAAUGGAGCAAGAGGAGGAGGUAGAAGAGGAGGGGGGAGGAAGAGGAAGAAAAUGUGAGAAGAGAGUCCUCUCAGCUUAGUAUAGAGAAAGCCCCCAAGCUGCAGCCUUUUUACCAUAGGACAUGGAGCCCAAGGGACAGAGAUGGAGGGACAGGACAUGAGCCUCUGCACCUCUGCUACCCUGGGCUUCUCUAGUCCUCCUGCGGCCCACUCCUGUCCAUGAAUGCUGGGGACUUAGUGGAAAGAAUAUAGGAGAGCCCACCUGCCUUGACUCACCAUAAAGGGCAGGCUGCAUUGAAAUCCCCACCCCUGGCCACCUCCCCUCUGGCUGUGGGCAGAAAGAGGGGCAAACACAGACACAUCCCAUAACCAGAUAUUUCAGCAGGACUCAAUUCCCACCUACAGGCCUAGCAGUCCUGUCUUCAAACCUUACCCGCUGGGUACCCUCCGGCUGGGCCAGCACUGGCAGACAGGCCUGAACCAUCAGCCCCAUGAGGCUAAGGCCUCGUGACUGUGCUCACUGCUUCGUCUUUACCACCUCUCAAAGACUCAGAGCCCUUUCUAGAUCCUUCUUGCAACCGUGGCUUCUACCCUGAUGCACCCCUUAGGGGACAGAGCACCGCUAGCUGGCACCUUCCUCCCCUGCUGAAGAUAGGCUGUAUUCCUGUCUCCACCUUUAACCCUGUAAACCUGAGCCGAGCCUCCCAUCAAAGGAUUCGAUGGACAGGAGGAGCCCAGGUUAGGCAAGACAAGAGAGUACUCUGCCCAUGGCCUACUCCUCUGCCACUUUAGAGACCCAAAGGCUGCAAGAGCCAUUUAGACAAGACAUGAAGGACCUGGGAUCUUGACUCUAAGUGUUUGUGUUGUUGGUUUUUUAAAAUAAAAGCUUCUCUGCUGCUA
Molecule: small RNA, 2297 nt
Filed under: Rattus norvegicus (Norway rat)
Lineage: Eukaryota; Metazoa; Chordata; Mammalia; Rodentia; Muridae
Description: uncharacterized LOC102546551
Source: RNAcentral